UCCAACUCUUUUCAAGUCAAAAGACUUUUGCAGCACAAAGGCCAAGCCAGCGUCAUGAGUCUCCCUCUUCCCCACUUCCGCCAUCGAUCACUUUGACCGGCUCGGAUUGAAAUAUAGAAGAAGAAUAGAGAAACGAUUCUGUGCACCGCACUGUAGGGGACGAUGGACAGCCCAUUUUGGAGUGGGAGAUCAGUUUUUCCUCUCGUGUUCUGGUUUUCCAAGAAAGACCGCUCGAUUGCACUCUCAAAAUCAGCAGAACUUGGGGCAUAUCAAUUUGGGGUGCGCGAAUCGGAGGGCACCGGCAUUUUGAAUAGUUCUUCCCUUUCAGCAUCAAAUUAAGUCCGUGAAAUAGGUUGAUCUCCAGGUUCGACGAGGUGCUCGUCGGUCUCGAUUCACCUCAUCCGUUGCACCCACACCUGCAACUAUACCGCUCCGAUCGCCGCGACGUCAGCCUUCCGAGUGGCGAUCCCUCAGAAUUUCGCUCUGGGUUCGAUGCGGCGCUCGUUGGUCUCAAAUUAGUCAAGCCACACUCGAAUCUGAACAUUCAUUUAUUGGAUGCGCUUGGUAUAGUCAUGUUAAUGGUUGGAUCUAAUCAGAAUUUUUGCCACACAUUUACUGAAGAGAUACCUGGGACAAAAUCUAAUUGUUAGAAGAUGAUUAAAAAAAUAAUUGGUUAUGAACCUACUCAUGGAUACGCUAUGAUUGGUCGAGCCUGAAUGCAGUCUGUAUGGAUUCUAGUACCCGCUAAAAAAUUAAUUUAUGGCCAACACACUAUCGUUUCGUUCGCUGUUGGACAACAAUAAGCUUACCGAAUCUAAUUUCAAUAGCUGGUAUCGAAAGUUGAAGACAUCCUGAAGCAUGAGAGGAUCUUGUAUAUGAUUAUGUAUAUGAUUAUGGAUCUACUACCUGAAGAAUUUGUUGCCAAUGCACCCCGUGCUGUGAGAGACACUUAUUUGAAGUGGUUCAAUGACCGCACGAUGGUGCGUUGCAUCGUGAGGGUAGCAAUAAAUGAUGAAUUUAGCCGUAAGUUCGAGGAUGCACAACCAGAAGAUAUGAUUCAAAUGUUGAAUGAGUUCUUCGGCGUCUCUGAAGAUGCAGAAAGAAAUAAAACCUUUCGUGCUGUAUUCAAAGUCCGUAUGCGAGAGAGGACGUCAGUUACUGAUCAUGUAUUAUACAUAA
Molecule: long non-coding RNA, 1179 nt
Organism: Elaeis guineensis (African oil palm)
Lineage: Eukaryota; Viridiplantae; Streptophyta; Magnoliopsida; Arecales; Arecaceae
Source: RefSeq, a predicted model, not a curated record